Molecule: transfer RNA, 72 nt
Filed under: Cryptomonas gyropyrenoidosa
Lineage: Eukaryota; Cryptophyceae; Cryptomonadales; Cryptomonadaceae
Description: tRNA-Glu
Rfam family: tRNA
About the family: Transfer RNA (tRNA) molecules are approximately 80 nucleotides in length.
Source: RNAcentral
GUUCCUUUCGUCUAAUGGUCAAGACAAUACCUUUUCAAGGUAUUUAUAUGAGUUCAAAUCUCGUAAGGAAUA